Molecule: ribosomal RNA, 253 nt
Filed under: uncultured bacterium
Lineage: Bacteria
Description: partial 16S ribosomal RNA
Rfam family: Bacterial small subunit ribosomal RNA
Source: RNAcentral
UACAGGGGGUGCAAACGUUGCUCGGAAUCAUUGGGCGUAAAGCGCACGUAGGCGGUCUGUUAUGUCGGAUGUGAAAGCCCUUGGCUCAACUGAGGAAGUGCAUCCGAAACUAGCAGGCUAGAGUACUAAAGAGGAUCGCGGAAUUCCCGGUGUAGAGGUGAAAUUCGUAGAUAUCGGGAGGAACACCGGUGGCGAAGGCGGCAUCCUGGACCAAUUCUGACACUGAGGAGCGAAAGCCAGGGGAGCAAACGGG